RNAcentral lists this RNase P RNA (437 nucleotides) under Afipia sp. P52-10. Its description in RNAcentral is "Bacterial RNase P class A". It matches the Rfam family "Bacterial RNase P class A". From Rfam's summary of the family: Ribonuclease P (RNase P) is a ubiquitous endoribonuclease, found in archaea, bacteria and eukarya as well as chloroplasts and mitochondria. Its best characterised activity is the generation of mature 5'-ends of tRNAs by cleaving the 5'-leader elements of precursor-tRNAs. Lineage: Bacteria; Pseudomonadati; Pseudomonadota; Alphaproteobacteria; Hyphomicrobiales; Nitrobacteraceae. The record is from Rfam by way of RNAcentral.
UCAGUCGGCCGGACGGCCGCUCUCGCAAACGCCGAAAGGCCGCGAGGGAGGAAAGUCCGGGCUCCAUGGACAAACGGUGCCGGAUAACGUCCGGCGGAGCGGUGAAGGCGUGAGCCCGCGCCGCUUCAGGGAAAGUGCCACAGAGAACGAACCGCCUCGUCUUCGGACGCGGUAAGGGUGAAAAGGUGCGGUAAGAGCGCACCGCGCCGGCAGCAAUGGCGGCGGCAUGGCAAACCCCACCGGGAGCAAAACCGAAUAGGAACGGCGUAGCGGUAAGUUCGCCUCAGGCGAUAACACCGCGGGGCAUGUCUGGCCUUGCCGUUCGGGUAGGUUGCUUGAGGCAGCGUGUGAACGCUGUCCCAGAGGAAUGGCCGUCACGUAUCGUCCGCGCGAGCGGCGGUGCCCUACAGAACCCGGCUUACAGGCUGGCUGACACG